GUAGGUGGCAAGCGUUGUCCGGAAUUAUUGGGCGUAAAGCGCGCGCAGGCGGUUCUUUAAGUCUGAUGUGAAAGCCCACGGCUCAACCGUGGAGGGUCAUUGGAAACUGGAGAACUUGAGUACAGAAGAGGAAAGCGGAAUUCCACGUGUAGCGGUGAAAUGCGUAGAGAUGUGGAGGAACACCAGUGGCGAAGGCGGCUUUCUGGUCUGUAACUGACGCUGAGGCGCGAAAGCGUGGGGAGCAAACAGGAUUAGAUACCCUGGUAGUCCACGCCGUAAACGAUGAGUGCUAAGUGUUAGGGGGGUUUUCCGCCCCCCUUAGUGCUGCAGCUAACGCAUUUAGCACUCCGCCUGGGAGUACGGCCGCAAGGCUG
This 374-nucleotide ribosomal RNA is filed under the name uncultured organism. RNAcentral's name for it is "partial 16S ribosomal RNA". It matches the Rfam family "Bacterial small subunit ribosomal RNA", at positions 527 to 896 of the family's 1533-position model. The record is from RNAcentral.